Molecule: transfer RNA, 72 nt
Filed under: Marmota monax (woodchuck)
Lineage: Eukaryota; Metazoa; Chordata; Mammalia; Rodentia; Sciuridae
Description: tRNA.Ala
Source: RNAcentral
GGGGUUGUAGCUCAGCUGGUAGUGUGUUUGCCUAGCAUGUGUGAGGCACUGAGUUCACUCCUCAGCACCUCA